Triplophysa rosa is the source of this 868-nucleotide long non-coding RNA. RefSeq lists it as uncharacterized. The record is from RefSeq and is a predicted model, not a curated record. The transcript has 4 exons. NCBI's taxonomy places the organism in Eukaryota, Metazoa, Chordata, Actinopteri, Cypriniformes, Nemacheilidae.
CACAUACACAUACACAUACACAUAAACACACACAUGCAAUGUAUGUUCUGAUUCUUGUCUUUCUCACAACCAACAACGAAUUAUCUUAAACAACCAAUAGGAUAUAAGCUUAUUGCAAGCCCAUAAUGAUCGAUAUACGUCAUCCUCAUUGUAUCAGAGUUUGAAUUUUAUAGGGCCUCUGUAAUUAAGUUCCAGCAUAGAACGAAACUUAAUAUGCGUUCAUGUAUUGUACUGUUUUUGUAACGUAUUCAACACAUUUUUGAUCUCACGUGGCGGAGUCUAUGCGCGUGCGCAUGCGCAAAGCGAAAGUGCACAUGCUAGCACAGGUAACCGCCGUAGCCGAUGGAAGACAGCGAGGCAGAGACGAAGAACUUCACGUCUUCAUGAUCUGGCAGCACAAUUAGAUGUUGAAACACUACAGUAGAAAAGAACUGAUGGAGAGGGAACCUGCUGUGAAGGAUACAGUGGAAAGGUGGCCAGCACUCUUUAUGGAGUGUCAGAUUCUGGCAGAGUUCACUCUUAUAUCUGGCAAAGACCUACAAACCGAAUUAUUUCUAGAACUGGACCGUUGACAUCUCAGAGCCAAAGGGGGAGACAUUGGCUCUAAACUUAAGAAGAUUCUGCAACAGAAUUUCAACAUUCAACAUUGAAAAUAAUAAAUCUGACAUCAUUGGGAGACGAACAGCAGUUCUUGAUGGCCUUCCACUCCUCCUUGGAGAAGACCCCACUGAUUUUUACAAGACAUGUAUUGUAAGUAGUUUUGUCUGUUUUGUUCUGGUAUUAUGGGGCUUUGGCACUGCAGGAACGAUUUCAUAGUUCUGGGAAGAUUUGGCGGAAGUACCUUCUUUUUGUUGUUCGCACCGCAGGA